This 360-nucleotide transfer-messenger RNA is filed under the name Chloroflexota bacterium. RNAcentral's name for it is "Chloroflexi bacterium transfer-messenger RNA". It matches the Rfam family "transfer-messenger RNA". From Rfam's summary of the family: Bacterial tmRNA, also known as 10Sa RNA or SsrA, is named for its dual tRNA and mRNA-like properties. Lineage: Bacteria; Bacillati; Chloroflexota. The record is from RNAcentral.
GGGGAUGAGUGGAUUCGACAGGGUUGGGAGGCCUGGAACUGCGAGCCGAGGUGCUAUCACCCUCGUUAAACAGGUAGCAACUCUUUUAAGUGCCAACAAGCACGAAUUUGCUCUCGCAGCCUAAAUAGCGCUGUGACGUCCACCUGCUCUUCCUCCGGUGAGCGCAGCUUGGGCGACAUAUCAGCCGGGGUGCCGCGGUCCGCCAGCCUUCGGCGACUGCGAAAGACAAACGGAGGCUAGUUUCCAGAGGUUUUCGUCCGCUCGUGCUCUGGGAAUGAAACCCAAAAGCUGACUACGCUCGUAGAGGUUGCAGGAAGAACAGCUCUGGACGGGGAGUUCGACUCUCCCCCAUCUCCACCA